AUUGAACGCUGGCGGAAUGCUUUACACAUGCAAGUCGAACGGCAGCACGGGGCAACCUGGUGGCGAGUGGCGAACGGGUGAGUAAUACAUCGGAACGUGCCCAAUCGUGGGGGAUAAUGUAGCGAAAGUUACGCUAAUACCGCAUACGAUCUACGGAUGAAAGCGGGGGAUCGCAAGACCUCGCGCGAAUGGAGCGGCCGAUGUCAGAUUAGGUAGUUGGUGGGGUAAAGGCUCACCAAGCCGACGAUCUGUAGCUGGUCUGAGAGGACGACCAGCCACACUGGGACUGAGACACGGCCCAGACUCCUACGGGAGGCAGCAGUGGGGAAUUUUGGACAAUGGGCGCAAGCCUGAUCCAGCCAUUCCGCGUGCAGGAUGAAGGCCUUCGGUUGUAAACUGCUUUGUACGGAACGAAACGGUUCUCUCUAAUACAGGGGCUAAUGACGGUACCGUAAGAAUAAGACACCGGCUAACUACGUGCCAGCGAGCCGCGGUAAACACG
Molecule: ribosomal RNA, 502 nt
Filed under: uncultured bacterium
Lineage: Bacteria
Description: bacterial SSU rRNA
Rfam family: Bacterial small subunit ribosomal RNA
Source: RNAcentral